RNAcentral lists this ribosomal RNA (233 nucleotides) under Clostridioides difficile. RNAcentral describes it as "partial 23S ribosomal RNA". It matches the Rfam family "Bacterial large subunit ribosomal RNA", at positions 2347 to 2579 of the family's 2925-position model. Lineage: Bacteria; Bacillati; Bacillota; Clostridia; Peptostreptococcales; Peptostreptococcaceae. The record is from RNAcentral.
GAGUGUAAAGGCAAAAGAGAGCUUGAUUGCAAGACAUACAGGUCGAGCAAGGAUGAAAAUCGGACUUAGGGAUCCGGUGGUUCUGCGUGGAAGGGCCAUCGCUCAACGGAUAAAAGCUACCCUGGGGAUAACAGGCUUAUCUCCCCCAAGAGUCCCCAUCGACGGGGAGGUUUGGCACCUCGAUGUCGGCUCAUCACAUCCUGGGGCUGUAGUAGGUCCCAAGGGUUGGGCUG